RNAcentral lists this small nucleolar RNA (88 nucleotides) under Dipodomys ordii (Ord's kangaroo rat). RNAcentral describes it as "Small nucleolar RNA SNORA8 (ENSDORG00000021304.2)". It matches the Rfam family "Small nucleolar RNA SNORA8", at positions 52 to 139 of the family's 139-position model. From Rfam's summary of the family: ACA8 is a member of the H/ACA class of snoRNA that guide the sites of modification of uridines to pseudouridines. The record is from RNAcentral. Lineage: Eukaryota; Metazoa; Chordata; Mammalia; Rodentia; Heteromyidae.
AGGACAGUGCAAUAGAAAUUCAAUAUCUGGCAUCGUUGGUUUUUUUGGCUUUAUCCAUGAUAAACCUGGUAUUUCUAUUGAUACAGUA